UGCCCACAGUGUAGAAUCCAG
RNAcentral lists this unclassified non-coding RNA (21 nucleotides) under Mus musculus (house mouse). RNAcentral describes it as "oocyte_clustered_small_RNA13861". The record is from RNAcentral. Lineage: Eukaryota; Metazoa; Chordata; Mammalia; Rodentia; Muridae.